Long non-coding RNA from Juglans regia (Persian walnut), 631 nucleotides. RefSeq lists it as uncharacterized. The record is from RefSeq and is a predicted model, not a curated record. NCBI's taxonomy places the organism in Eukaryota, Viridiplantae, Streptophyta, Magnoliopsida, Fagales, Juglandaceae. The transcript has 5 exons.
GUCGUUUCGUGACUUUGGUCUUCGAGUUUCCCAUAUUCGGAAAUUUCACACGCACGCACGCACCCACUCUCUCUGUCAGAUCCUCCGUUGGCAUUUUCCGACCUUCGAAUUAGGGAAUAGAGUGGAGAGAGAUGGGUAGCCCUAAGAAGCACCAGAGUAAGGGCUUCUUUGCUGCCGUGAGCUCUGGUUUGUCCAUCUUCGGCAACGCCAUGCAUCGAUCCGUCAACGGGUUGCUUGGUUUUGAAGGGGUAGAAGUGAUAAAUCCAGAGGGUGGCAAAGAAGAUGCAGAGGAGGAAGCUCAGAGAGGAAGAUGGAAACCAGAGGAUAGAGACAGCUACUGAAAAAUGAUGCACAAAUAUAUAGGCUCAGACGUCACAUCAAUGGUCACACUUCCUGUCCUUAUUUUUGAGCCUAUGACUAUGCUUCAGAAAAUGGCAGAGUUAAUGGAGUACGCCUACUUGUUGGAUCAGGCAGACGAAUGUGGGGAUCCUUAUAUGCAGUUGGUGUAUGCCUCAUCAUGGGCUAUCUCUGUCUACUAUGCCUAUCAACGAACUGGAAGCCUUUUAAUCCUAUUCUUGGGGAAACUUAUGAAUUGAGUAAUCAUGGAGGGAUUACAUUUGUCGUAGAGCAG